GUGAGGAAUUUUCCGCAAUGGGCGAAAGCCUGACGGACCAAUGCCGCGUGAAGGAUGAAGGCCUAUGGGUUGUAAACUUCUUUUCUCAGAAAAGAAUUAUGACGGUAUCUGAGGAAUAAGCAUCGGCUAACUCUGUGCCAGCAGCCGCGGUAAGACAGAGGAUGCAAGCGUUAUCCGGAAUGAUUGGGCGUAAAGCGUCUGUAGGUUGUUUAAAAAGUAUUCUGUCAAAGAUUAGGGCUUAACCCUAGAUAGGCAGAAUAAACUUUUAAGCUAGAGUUUGGUAGAGGCAGAGGGAAUUCCCGGUGGAGCGGUGAAAUGCGUAGAUAUCGGGAGGAACACCAAAGGCGAAGGCACUCUGCUGGGCCAAUACUAACACUGAGAGACGAAAGCGAGGGGAGCAAAUGGGAUUAGAUACCCUAGUAGUCC
RNAcentral lists this ribosomal RNA (426 nucleotides) under uncultured bacterium. RNAcentral describes it as "partial 16S ribosomal RNA". It matches the Rfam family "Bacterial small subunit ribosomal RNA", at positions 354 to 796 of the family's 1533-position model. The record is from RNAcentral.